This 425-nucleotide ribosomal RNA is filed under the name uncultured prokaryote. RNAcentral's name for it is "bacterial SSU rRNA". It matches the Rfam family "Bacterial small subunit ribosomal RNA", at positions 355 to 796 of the family's 1533-position model. The record is from RNAcentral.
CAGGGAAUAUUGCACAAUGGGCGAAAGCCUGAUGCAGCGACGCCGCGUGGGGGAUGAAGGCCCUAGGGUCGUAAACCCCUUUCAGUAGGGACGAAAAUGACGGUACCUACAGAAGAAGGUCCGGCCAACUACGUGCCAGCAGCCGCGGUAAGACGUAGGGACCAAGCGUUGUCCGGAUUUAUUGGGCGUAAAGAGCUCGUAGGCGGUUGCGUAAGUCGGAUGUGAAAACUUGGGGCUCAACCCCGAGACGCCAUCCGAUACUGCGCUGACUUGAAUCCAGUAGGGGAGUGUGGAAUUUGUUGUGUAGCGGUGAAAUGCGCAGAUAUAACAAGGAACACCUAUGGCGAAGGCAGCACUCUGGGCUGGUAUUGACGCUGAGGAGCGAAAGCGUGGGUAGCAAACAGGAUUAGAUACCCCCGUAGUCC